UUGGAGGGCAAGUCUGGUGCCAGCAGCCGCGGUAAUUCCAGCUCCAAUAGCGUAUAUUAAAGUUGUUGCAGUUAAAAAGCUCGUAGUUGAAUUUCGGGAUUGACACAUCGGUCGUGCCUUAAGGGGUAUGAACUGGUGUAGUCAAUUUCUCACCUUCUGGAGAACCGCGAUGUCCUUAAUUGGGUGCCGCGAGGAACCAGGACCUUUACUUUGAAAAAAUUAGAGUGUUUAAAGCAGGCAUUUUUGCUUGAAUACAUUAGCAUGGAAUAAUAAAAUAGGACGGCAUGAUUCUAUUUUGUUGGUUUCUAGGAUCACCGUAAUGAUUAAUAGGGAUAGUUGGGGGCAUUAGUAUUCAAUUGUCAGAGGUGAAAUUCUUGGAUUUAUUGAAGACUAACUACUGCGAAAGCAUUUGCCAAGGAUGUUUUCAUUAAUCAAGAACGAAAGUUAGGGGAUCGAAGACGAUCAGAUACCGUCGUAGUCUUAACCAUAAACUAUGCCGACUAGGAAUCAGACGAUGUUAAUUUUUUAAUGACUCGUUCGGCGCCUUACGGGAAAC
This 556-nucleotide ribosomal RNA is filed under the name uncultured Glomeromycotina. RNAcentral's name for it is "SSU rRNA". It matches the Rfam family "Eukaryotic small subunit ribosomal RNA", at positions 548 to 1098 of the family's 1831-position model. The record is from RNAcentral. Lineage: Eukaryota; Fungi; Glomeromycota.